UGGGGAAUAUUGCACAAUGGGCGAAAGCCUGAUGCAGCGACGCCGCGUGAGGGAUGACGGCCUUCGGGUUGUAAACCUCUUUCAGUAGGGAAGAAGCGAAAGUGACGGUACCUGCAGAAGAAGCGCCGGCUAACUACGUGCCAGCAGCCGCGGUAAUACGUAGGGCGCAAGCGUUAUCCGGAAUUAUUGGGCGUAAAGAGCUCGUAGGCGGUUUGUCGCGUCUGCUGUGAAAGACCGGGGCUCAACUCCGGUUCUGCAGUGGGUACGGGCAGACUAGAGUGAUGUAGGGGAGACUGGAAUUCCUGGUGUAGCGGUGAAAUGCGCAGAUAUCAGGAGGAACACCGAUGGCGAAGGCAGGUCUCUGGGCAUUAACUGACGCUGAGGAGCGAAAGCAUGGGGAGCGAACAGG
Molecule: ribosomal RNA, 409 nt
Filed under: Bacillota bacterium
Lineage: Bacteria; Bacillati; Bacillota
Description: Firmicutes bacterium partial 16S ribosomal RNA
Rfam family: Bacterial small subunit ribosomal RNA
Source: RNAcentral